Long non-coding RNA from Phlebotomus papatasi, 979 nucleotides. RefSeq lists it as uncharacterized. The transcript has 3 exons. The record is from RefSeq and is a predicted model, not a curated record. Lineage: Eukaryota; Metazoa; Arthropoda; Insecta; Diptera; Psychodidae.
GUGACAAGUGUGGUGACAAAAACAAUUGAUAAUUCAUUGUGCGUAUUUGAAAAGAUUCAAAGGGACAAUGAACAGAAUGUAGUGUUUUGAGGAACACCAGACGUCAGAGAAGAAAAUGGUCCAGAGAAUUCCGAAUACUCAGGCUGAAACUGAAUGCAUGCAACGAAAGGAAUUGAUGACAUCGGGAAGAUUGUAUCAACAGUGGAAUUUCUUCAUUUAACACUAAACCUACUGAAAUUUUUUAAUACCUAUUCUUACCAUACCCGAUCAAAUUGACCGGUACUGAAACAGUUAUUAGAGACUACACUAUCGCCUUCUUACAGUCUUGGAUGUUUUAGAAACUCACCUAGAGGCCAUUUCAUCCAUUCACAGCAAGAACGACCCACCGCUUCUUUCCCCAUAUGGUAACAAUUUGGACAGAAAGAAUUCUUCUGAUCAGUUUUUUGACCAAAGGAAUAGAGAUAGCUACUUAGAAUAUUGUGACAACCCCUCCAAGUGUUAAUGUAAGGAAUCCAAAUACCAUAUAUGGAUUUUCUUCUCAUCCUACUCCUUUGCAUCCAGAAACCACUCUUUUGAGAAUAUCUCAAAAACUAAAUCAUCGAUUCCUUUCAUUUUUGGGUAUUUUUUAGAGGUAGUCAAGGCGGACAUUUCGUCCUUAGGAACCAAUACUUUCCAAAAGUUCCUUCCUAGCAUUUUCAAGGUCAGUGGUCAAUUUAUUUAGGAGAUUGGAUUUUUCGACGGAUUUGAAAAAUAAAUAGUUAAAAAUACUAACCUUAAAACUGUGAGGAGGAGUUUUUGAGGAGUAUUGGUUCCUAGUAUCUGCGUAAACGUUAUCUUAAAUAAAUUUCUUUUAUUUAAAUGGGAUCAACUUUUUACCAAUUAGUUGCCCCUUCAUAAAAUGAUGUCACGCGGUAUUCAUAUGUCAUUGGAUAUAGCGCGCGGAGCAAACCUAACCUGGAAAUUCUGUAAUCAUUGAAAA